AACGAACGCUGGCGGCAGGCCUAACACAUGCAAGUCGAGCGAGGACUUCGGUCCUAGCGGCGGACGGGUGAGUAACGCGUGGGAACGUGCCCUUUGCUUCGGAAUAGCCCUGGGAAACUGGGAGUAAUACCGGAUGAGCACUUUGGGGGAAAGAUUUAUCGGCGAAGGAUCGGCCCGCGUUGGAUUAGGUAGUUGGUGGGGUAAUGGCCUACCAAGCCGACGAUCCAUAGCUGGUUUGAGAGGAUGAUCAGCCACACUGGGACUGAGACACGGCCCAGACUCCUACGGGAGGCAGCAGUGGGGAAUCUUAGACAAUGGGGGAGACCCUGAUCUAGCCAUGCCGCGUGAGCGAUGAAGGCGUUAGGGUUGUAAAGCUCUUUCAGCUGGGAAGAUAAUGACGGUACCAGCAGAAGAAGCCCCGGCUAACUACGUG
RNAcentral lists this ribosomal RNA (433 nucleotides) under uncultured bacterium. RNAcentral's name for it is "partial 16S ribosomal RNA". It matches the Rfam family "Bacterial small subunit ribosomal RNA", at positions 29 to 507 of the family's 1533-position model. The record is from RNAcentral.